Molecule: ribosomal RNA, 2271 nt
Filed under: Triticum aestivum (bread wheat)
Lineage: Eukaryota; Viridiplantae; Streptophyta; Magnoliopsida; Poales; Poaceae
Description: partial small subunit ribosomal RNA
Source: RNAcentral
AUGGCGCGGACGCGCUCGCUGGACGCGGGCGACGAGGAGUUCUUCGACUCCAGGGAGACCAUCUCGCCGCCCUCCGUCGCCUCGCCGGCCAGCUCCGGCCGCCACAGCGGCGCCGGCGACGGCGACGGCGUUUUGCUCUGCGGCGGGGCCCUGCUCGAGGUCUGGGCCACGGGCCCCUUCAGCGUCGAGGAGCGCCGCGAGCGGUUCGUCCGCUCCCUGGGCCUCCUGGAUCCGGGAGAAUCGGGGCCGCGCCCGAUGCCCCGCGCCAGCUUGGAGAUCGUCCUGGCCAGCCCCGCCGCGGCGCCGGCCUCGCCCGCCCCUCGUCUCGCGCGCGGGGCUGCCGGGGAGGGGGAGGAGGCGGGGGCGCCCGGCCGAAGCGGCGGCGGCGGCGGCGGCGAGGACGGCCUGGAGUGCGUGUUCAAGAACCUGGACGACGGCACGGUCUUCGUCGUCCACGAGCUGGGCAAGGACGGCAGCUUCCGGAGCCUCCGGGAGCGCCGCUCCAACCGGACCGUCACCGCCGCGGAAUUCGAGAGGAUCUCCGGCUCCUCCCCGUUCAUCCGCGAGAUGAUGCGCCGGGUGGACGACUCCUCGGACGAGCCCUCCACCCCGGAGAAGUCGAGGCGCCGGAGGAGGCGGCGGUUCGGGUGGCUCCGGAGGCUGGGCGUCGGCGCCUGCGUCGUCGACGCUGAGGACGACGACGAGGCGAAUUCCACCUCCUCCAGCUCCUGCCGGAGCUGCGCCGGGAAGCCCGGGAAGGCCGUUGACAGGGUCAAGGUCAGGCCAUACAAGAAGCGGUCAAAGGAAUUGUCAGCGGUGUACAGGGGCCAAGACAUCAGGGCGCACAAGGGCGCCAUUGUGGCCAUGAAGUUCAGCUCCGACGGGCAGUACCUGGCCACCGGAGGCGAGGACGGGGUGGUGCGCGUGUGGCGGGUGGUGGAGGGCGAGAGGCCCGACGAGCUCGACUUCGCCGAGGACGAUCCGUCGUGCGUCUUCUUCACUGUCAAUGAGAACUCUGAACUGGCUCCUGUCAACUCGAGCGAAGGGACCAAGAGCAAACAGGACAAGAGCUCAAAGGGGCAAGCAGAUCCGGCCUGCGUUGUGAUCCCUCACCGGACCUUUGCGCUGUCUCAGGUCCCUGUGCAUGAAUUCUAUGGGCAUGAUGAUGCCAUCUUGGAUCUCUCAUGGUCCAAAAAUGGGGACUUGAUUUCUGCAUCUAUGGAUAAAACUGCUCGACUGUGGCGGGUCGGGUGCAAUAGUUGUCUCAAGGUUUUCUACCACAAUAACUACGUGACAUGCGUUCAGUUUCACCCUACGAGUGACAAUUAUUUUAUCAGCGGCUGCAUCGACGGGUUGGUUCGCAUUUGGGAUGUUCGUAAAUGCCUAGUGGUAGACUGGGCUAACAGCAAAGAGAUAAUCACCGCAGUCUGUUACCGGCCUGAUGGAAAGGGGGUAGUGGUUGGGACCAUAACAGGAAAUUGCCGCUACUACGAUGCAUCAGAAAAUCGUCUAGAACUGGAAUCUCAGGUCUCUCUGAAUGGCAGAAAGAAGUCUCCACUUAAAAGAAUAGUUGGUUUCCAGUACUGCCCAUCUGAUCCAAAGAAGUUGAUGGUAACAUCUGGUGACUCACAAGUUCGCAUUCUUGAUGGGGUUCAUGUAAUUUCCAACUACAAAGGUUUACAAAGCUCAAGCCAAGUUGCCGCAUCAUUUACCCCAGACGGAGAUCACAUUAUCUCUGCUAGCGACGAUUCCCGUAUCUACAUGUGGAAUCAUGUGAACCAACUUGCCCCAGUCACAAGCCGCGUGAAGACAGUGUGGUCAUACGAGCGUUUUUUCAGCAACGAUGCCUCCAUCGCCAUACCGUGGAACGCCUCACAGUCAAGGAACUCUAUUUCACUGGCCUGCAACAUCCCGUCUUUGCGGCAAGAAGUCUCGGGCGACCUCUGCGACAUACAGGACAGCAGCACAUCACGCUGCCAGACUGAAGAUUGCCUUGAAGAUGACAACAUGUUCCGGUUACCAUCGGGCAAUUUCACUCUGAGCAGGGCGUUCCUUGCGGAGUCUGCUCCAAGGGGAACAGCCACUUGGCCGGAGGAGCAUCUGGCAUCCAACUCCACGACGGCGUCUACGUUGCGUAAAUCUCAGUACAAGUUCCUGAAGGCGUCUUGCCAGAAUGCAGCCACACAUGCCUGGGGCCAGGUCAUAGUCACCGCAAGCUGGGAUGGCCACAUCAGGUCAUUCCAGAACUAUGGCUUGCCGGUGCAAGUUUGA